GAUGAACGCUGGCGGCGUGCCUAAUACAUGCAAGUCGAGCGAACGGACGAGAAGCUUGCUUCUCUGAUGUUAGCGGCGGACGGGUGAGUAACACGUGGAUAACCUACCUAUAAGACUGGGAUAACUUCGGGAAACCGGAGCUAAUACCGGAUGAUAUUUUGAACCGCAUGGUUCAAAAGUGAAAGACGGUCUUGCUGUCACUUAUAGAUGGAUCCGCGCUGCAUUAGCUAGUUGGUAAGGUAACGGCUUACCAAGGCAACGAUGCAUAGCCGACCUGAGAGGGUGAUCGGCCACACUGGAACUGAGACACGGUCCAUACUCCUACGGGAGGCAGCAGUAGGGAAUCUUACGCAAUGGGCGAGAGCCUGACAGAGCAACGCCGAGUGAGUGAUGGCGGUCUUCGGAUCGUAAAACUCUGUUAUUAGGGAAGAACAUAUGUGUAAGUAACUGUGCACAUCUUGACGGUACCUAAUCAGAAAGCCACGGCUAACUACGUG
RNAcentral lists this ribosomal RNA (497 nucleotides) under uncultured bacterium. Its description in RNAcentral is "partial 16S ribosomal RNA". It matches the Rfam family "Bacterial small subunit ribosomal RNA", at positions 28 to 507 of the family's 1533-position model. The record is from RNAcentral.